UUAGUAUCUUUCACGUCAAAUUAGAAACACAUAUUUGGAAUUUACUGCUGCAGUCUCUACUGUGCUUAUCAUGGUAGUGGCUGAAACUGGAAGACAUUUUUUUUUAAACCCUGAAGUCAUCCAUACUUGCUACUUAUUUAGUCUUCUUGCUUGGAAUGAAAAGUAUUCACGAAUACCACCACCUAAGCACCUGUUUAAAAUGAAACUCAGCCUUCAGCUUGCAAAAUGAUGUCUUUAUAAUUAAGCAAACAGCAGAAGACCCAUGCAAGUUGUUUCUUUCUUCCUGGAGAAGUUGGCAGGAUAACUGGAAUCCUAGGAGCUCCUCUGUAUUGAAUUUGCCAAGUCCUGAGUUCAGAAUUUUGUUUUUGAGAUGAAUAUAAAAGCACCUAAUGGUCAAGGAAAAUUUUCUUCCUGUGAUAAGGAACCUUUGCUUUAGUGUAGAUGACCACUCCCCUCUGCAAGGUAGGGAGGAAGAAUGUUCGGUUAGUUCCUUUCCUCUGGCCGAUCUCUUUUUUUCUUCUCUUCGCACAGUCCAACAGAUGCGCUCGGCCUCCCGGGAGCUAGCCCGCCCCCGGCCCAGAGGCCAAUUUACAGCCGCACGCCUCACUCCACCAUCCUCGCAGCUUCUCCGCGGAUAACUUCUUAACCAAGUGGCCGAACUUAGUACCACCAAUGCUGGAACAAAGUGACAUCAUGUGCCUUGCAUUGUGAUGCAACUAAGAAUACAACAUCUCUUGUGAAGUUGUUUUAUCAAAAAAUGUUUAACCUAAAUCUAACGAGAAAACAGACAAAUCCAACUUACAGACAUUCUGAAAAGCGACGAGCUUGGACUCUUCAAAAAUGUCCAUGUCAUGAAAGACAAAAAGCCAG
This 870-nucleotide long non-coding RNA is filed under the name Homo sapiens (human). RNAcentral describes it as "HSALNT0281761". The record is from RNAcentral. Lineage: Eukaryota; Metazoa; Chordata; Mammalia; Primates; Hominidae.